CCGCGCUCAGGCCCGCCCUCCGCGCACGCCCACCCGCCUCCCAGCCCGGCCCGCUCACCGGAAACGCCCGCUGCGCUCCGGCCUGGAGCACGACGGCCCCGUGCCGGGAGCCCCGUGCGGGGACGCUAGGAGACGACACCGCGGCGGACCACCAGGCCCACUGAGGCCCAGAGUAAUGGCCGCACCGCGGGUACCACCACUUCCGGUCUCUCUCCUCCGCCCCGGCGCACCAUCGCGGACUCUCUAGAGUUGAUAUCUCUAUAUGGGACUGAACCUGGAACUAGGCUCCAAAAGAGAAAGGCCAUAUGGAUCCCAUGUAUUCCUAGUCCCCGACCUAAAGCUGAAGUCUUCAUACUAGGUUCGAGAAAAAUGUCUGUUGAAUGAGCAAGGUUCGUAUUA
This 399-nucleotide long non-coding RNA is filed under the name Dasypus novemcinctus (nine-banded armadillo). RNAcentral's name for it is "lncRNA (ENSDNOG00000051495.1)". Lineage: Eukaryota; Metazoa; Chordata; Mammalia; Cingulata; Dasypodidae. The record is from RNAcentral.